RNAcentral lists this ribosomal RNA (497 nucleotides) under uncultured bacterium. Its description in RNAcentral is "partial 16S ribosomal RNA". It matches the Rfam family "Bacterial small subunit ribosomal RNA", at positions 28 to 507 of the family's 1533-position model. The record is from RNAcentral.
GAUGAACGCUGGCGGCGUGCCUAAUACAUGCAAGUCGAGCGAACGGACGCGAAGCUUGCUUUUCUGAUGUUAGCGGCGGACGGGUGAGUAACACGUGUAUAACCUACCUAUCAGACUGGGAUAACUUCGGGACACCGGAUCUAAUACCGGAUAAUAUUUUGAACCGCAUGGUUCAAAAGUGAAAGACGGCCUUGCUGUCACUUAUAGCUGGAUCUGCGCUGCAUUAGCUAGUUGGUAAGUUAACGGCUUAUCAAGGCAACGAUGCAUAGCCGACGGGAGAGACUGGUCGGCCACACUGGAGCGGAGACACGGUCCAGACUACUACGGGAGGCAGCAGUAGGGAAUCUGCCGCAGUGGGCGAAAGCCUGACGGAGCGGCGCCGCGUGAGAGAUGGAGGUCUUCGGAUCGUAAAACUCUGUUAUUAGGGAAGAACAUAUGUGUAAGUAACUGUGCACAUCGUGACGGUACCUAAUCAGAAAGCCACGGCUAACUACGUG